UGUUUUAUUCUAUUUAAAAACUAGAAAGGCUACACUGAGACAAAGGUUAUGCUUCCAUUAUAGUAAAUUGAUUGCAGUGGUGACAAUGAGACCUGUAACAUUU
Molecule: small nucleolar RNA, 103 nt
Filed under: Dasypus novemcinctus (nine-banded armadillo)
Lineage: Eukaryota; Metazoa; Chordata; Mammalia; Cingulata; Dasypodidae
Description: Small nucleolar RNA SNORA1 (ENSDNOG00000027182.1)
Rfam family: Small nucleolar RNA SNORA1
About the family: ACA1 is a member of the H/ACA class of snoRNA that guide the sites of modification of uridines to pseudouridines.
Source: RNAcentral